Jaculus jaculus (lesser Egyptian jerboa) is the source of this 1148-nucleotide long non-coding RNA. RefSeq lists it as uncharacterized. The transcript is spliced from 2 exons. The record is from RefSeq and is a predicted model, not a curated record. NCBI's taxonomy places the organism in Eukaryota, Metazoa, Chordata, Mammalia, Rodentia, Dipodidae.
CGCGCCGCACACUCACCGGACGAGCGAGCGGGGGCUGCUCCAGGAGGACGUGGGUCCGAAGCCGCCCGGGCGCCGCCCGAGUCCGGAGUGGCGCGCAGGUGUUGGGUAAUGGCUACACAGACGAUACCAUCCUAUGGACUGGGGUGUUGGACUAAGUAAAAAUAGAAGAAGAAGAAAGCAACUAAGCACUAACAUUCAUCUCGUUCAGCUUUCUAACUGCAGUUACAGCGUGACCAGCCACCAAGCCUUGCCCUUCCUGAUGGACUUUAUCCCAUCAAAGUGCAGUUACAGCGUGACCAGCCAACAAGCCUUGCCCUCCGUGAUGGACUAUAUCCCAUCAAACCAUGAGCCAGGUACUUGUCACAGCAAUGCAAAAAGCAACUAGUACAAGUCCCAGAAACACUGGGGAGCAGCCCAGGUCCUCAUUCACCACAGAAACCAGCCAGGCCCAGUUGAAUCUGAGACAUGGCAUCUGGGCUGUCAGCAGCAGGAGGAGGGCAGUGGAUCACAAGUGUGGGAACCUUUUAGUAGACGAUUCAAACCAGAAAGAUCCUGUCUGCAGUAUGUUUAAACAAAAAUACGCCCAAAGAUCAAAUGUGGCCCUUGGCAGAACAGGGCAAACUGGCCAGAGGGCAAGCUGAAGCUCUUCUAUGUUCAGAAGGUCUAUCAGGAUCAAGGACUCCUAGGGCACCUCACAGGCCCGAGGUGGAGGUGCACUGACAGAGCCCCACCCUUUACGCCCCUUAGCUCACUUGCCUCUGCUACCCAUAAGCCCAUGGCCAGCCUGGGAAGGAAACAAGUGCUCAGAGAGCUGAAAUCUAUAGGCAAGACCACCAACAAAGCUUGUAUGAAGAGCUGAAGAUUCAGUCCAGCCUUUAUACAGACUCUGCAGUGUUCCUCUGGAAUGCUUAAUGUAGGGCCAGAACCUGCUUGUUGGCAGACCACUUGCCUAGCACAUGUGCAGUGCUGGGUAUGUUCUCUAGCUCCUGAACUACAAAUUGUGAUAAAAGAUUUUGUCAACAUUUGCAAAACACAAUACCCCUAAGUCACAAAGCACAUGGGCUCACAGAAGCAAUUCUACCUUCACAGGACAGGGGCUCACCAGCAGGCAAUUGAAACAACUGUCAAUAAAUUGUAUGCAGAACACU